This is a long non-coding RNA of Phyllopteryx taeniolatus (common seadragon), 6470 nucleotides long. RefSeq lists it as uncharacterized. Lineage: Eukaryota; Metazoa; Chordata; Actinopteri; Syngnathiformes; Syngnathidae. The record is from RefSeq and is a predicted model, not a curated record. The transcript has 5 exons.
CAAGUCAAAGACAAGUUUUUUUUCUAAUUCAUUUGCAGUGGUCAAGACAGUACCCACUCUCAGUACUUAAGUAAUGACAAAAUCUACUGGUAAAAGUAGCUGUACUAAUGUCACUCCUUAAGUAAAAUAAAAAAAUGUAAAGACUCUGAAAUGUAUUUAAGUAAAAAGUAAACAUACAUGUUGUUGUCAAUUGCAUACAACAUUGUACCAGUUUUGAUAACUUGGCACCAAAGGCUAGCAACCGACCGAACGUUGGCUCAAGUUUUUAUGCUAUCAAGACAUCAUGUUCCUAUCCAAGCUAAUCCAAAUGAAUUUAUAGUGCACAUUGAAAAACAACAGGGUUGACCAAAGUGCUAUCCAAUUCAUGUAAAACACACGGGAUAUAAAACUAAGUAAGCUUACAGAAGAUAAAAACAUGACAACAUUAUGUAAAACCAAUAAAACUCUCGAAACCAAUGUAAGAAAGAAAGAAAACAUAAAAAGCUUUCCGCUCUUUAUGCACAGUGAGGGAACGGCAAGGAGAAGAAGUGUGUUUUAAGAAAUAAAUUGAAAAACGGCCAGAGUACUGGCAAGUCUAAUGUGGGGGGUUGGCUUCACAAUUUGGGAGCCGCUACCACAAAGAGCCCCGCUGUGAUUUAUCCAAUAUUUUGUACUAUUGCUGUGAACUACAUUAGCUAAUUAUAACAAAAGAAUACAUCUAACCUAUGUAUGCGUGUGUGUGUUUUCAGAUUAGGUAGAGAAUUUCCAAAUGCUAAUUUCUGCCCUCUUCCUUAGUCAAGUCUACACAACCACAGUAAGGGUCCAUAGUCCACUGCACGGGAAAGGGGGGCACAGUCUAAACGAUGAUGAUGAAAAGCCGUCAGAAAAAUAAAUACUAUAUUCAGUAAAGUACAGAUACCGGAACAAUCGACCUAAGUACAGUACGAAGUAUUUGUAUUUUGUUACAUCCCACCACAGUUAAUUUGAAGUCCCCCCCCCUCUAGUCGAAGGCCUUAAAGAAGCAUUGAGAAUGAAGGAAGGCGACACACAUGAGCCACCAUGACGAGUCGAGGCACGUAGCCGCGCUCAAGCGUGUCUUUGUGGGGCUUGGAGCGCGCAGCUGCGCUGCCUAUUGAAUUGUGAUUUGGGCUGGCCUCUACAGGUGGAAACGCUCUUAUCAAUACGGCCUGUCCGAGGCUGACCGCUGGCCGAUCCGUCUCAUUGAUGAUUUCAGGUGCCCCCCCACCGCCCCUCCCCCUCGGCCUUCCCCCCGGGAGCACCAUUGAUUCAUGUCUGGGCCGUAGUGGUGCUAUUUCCAUAUUGAUACCUGGAUGGAUGACAACGCUCCAGGAACAAGCUGCUGUUAUUGAGCUUCUUCGCUUGAUGGGUUUAUGCCCAGUGCUCAUAAUAGCUCUUCUUCUACGACGUUUAUUUAUGCAUGUGCACAACAAUAAUGGGGAUUAAUCAGUGACUUCUUGUCUGAUAUUUAUUGAUACACGAGUAACAAAUGGAUCAGUGUUAUGCGAUAGCGCUUUUCUUUCUUCUAUUGUGAUGUUUUGAAAAUGAUAUUACAAUACAGUGGACCACUACUAUUCACAGGGGAUAGGGAAUGAGCCCAACUGCAAAUGGCAAAUUUCCUGCAAAUAAAUGAAGCUCCCCUAGAAAGGAUUAUAAUCCAUUAAUAAUUUUAAACCAUAAAUCUGGCACAAACUAUAACCUCAAAACACUUUAAUAGCAUUUGAACGCAUACAAAUAUCUUCAAACAAUGCUGUCAAAAAUAAUACAAGCACAUCACGUGCAUAUUGUGUAUUGCUAUUGUAGCUAUAGUAUGUAACUUUUGGUGCCCCCUAAACUCCAAUUCUGCAUUACAACAAAAGAACAGCGCUUCAACAUGACGUAGGCUUGUAUGUUACUCUACAACAUUUUUUACUGUGUUUUGAAGGACGUGUCAUCUCGGUGCCAUCAUUUGCGGUGUGCAAACCAACCGGGCCAGCGGGGGAAAUGAAUAGGGCAUUUACUAAACCGAAACACCAAAAACUAAUUAUUACGCUAAAUGUGUGUAGGUGGAACUUCUGUAAGAAUACCUUGUAAAGGGGCACAAGAAGGCAUGCUCAGUUUUUGCCACACUUAACGUUUUCAUUUGAUUGUUUUAUAUUCAUGGCUUCGAAGUGCUUUUCAUACAAACAUUUACUGCAAUUACGACUUUACUAUUGUGUUACCGUAGGUUAGUGAUACACUACCAUGUGUUCCGAUUUACAAAUUCUAGUUACUUUGUCAAAGUAGGAAUGGAACGCCCUCAUAUAACAAAGACCCCCUCUAGUUCCUCCUCCGACUGCACUGCAUUAUUGAUAGAAACCAAGGACAUAAAGGACACCGGGAUAGAAACUGCUCGUAUGAGCCAGUUACACACUCCAACGCUAAUGUAACUAUUCACCGUCGACAGAAUCUAAACCCAGAAAAAUGAAAGGCCUCCUCUCAUAUAAAGCCUAUGCCAGCUGACUUUUGGCGAGAGGCGGGCUACACCCUGGACUUUUUACAUUUAUUUAUGGUUAGUGCUAUUGGGUAUAUGAUCUGACAUGUUUGUUUGGGUUUGCUUCACAGCUCUUGCGUGCCUGCCCAGUGUGAAGAGGGGAGGGUGCGCUAUAUUAGGGCUGGGCGAUUAUGGAAAAUAUAAUAAGCACAAUCAUUUUGAUUGAUAUUGAAAACAUGAUUAUAAACAUGAUUAUUCAUUUAUUUCAAAGAUUUGUGUUUAUUCAACUACCAAAACUCAUCUUUAAAUAUAACUUAAAAUAACAAUCAACAAAUAAAUUAACACUUAAAAUAAUAAUAUAUUAAAAUAAUAGAAAUUGGGGGAAAAAUAACAAUAACGAAAAAUAAAUAAAUUCAUGGGUAAAAACGCGCCAAUGCUUUUAGCCGUAUUGUCUAUUAUACUGUAGUUGUCUUAAAAAAUCAUCUCAUUAUUCUGGUAUACAGAAAAUAGAAAUAAUUGUGGAAAUCCUAAAAUCCUAAAACAGGAAAAGUGUUGUCUGAUUUCACAGUCAGGGGGAAAAAAAAGUAUGUUUUUAAAAUUCUUUCUUUCUUUUUUUGUUUUAAUAUAAAGUCAAUGACUGCGUUUACUGUUCCUGCUGUGUGUGCCUUGGUCUCUUAGGGGCAGUGCAGUACCAUGCAUGCAUAGAGCUACUCAUUUACUGCAAGCUAAAAAAAAAAAAAAGAAUCGAAGAAGAAAGUCACAAAAUAACGUCAAUAAAAUCAUUUGAGGUAAAUUCCUCCUGUGUCCAAAUAUUAAUAUUAGCUAGCCCGUCAAUAGCAUUUUCCAUUGACUGUUAGCAUUAAGGUAGCGAUUUCUAAACGGAUGUGUGUCUUGUAUUUAAAUAUAAAUUGAGUGUAAUUAUGUUUGUUGUGCACUUGGAUUUAUAGUAAACUCCAACUGGGGUUUCAAUAAACAGCUUAAAUCACGCUCAGGGAGGGCUGAAUAACAUUCUACAUGCUGCAAAGUAUGAGCUGCUGUAUGAGGCUACCGUUAUUAGCUUUGUUAGCUUCAGCUAUCGUCUCGAGUCUAACCCGAAUUCGUGCCCGUUUAUCCGGUGAGGUGGUGCUCGUCGCGGUUUCUCCUUGCGUCAUCACAACAUCAUGUCGUGGACGAGAUGUUUCAGUGUUGAAAUAAUUUCAGAACGACACUGAAAAUGCAGUGCAAUGCAAAUUUUCGGUGACUUAGAAAUUUGUGUCUAUACGUGGGUGGUGGCCCGACAUGGUGUGUAGUGGCCCCGGCCCACCGUUAAUGUCGGAACCUCUUUUAGGUGAGAAAGUUAAGGGCGCAACUUCGAUGAGCUGACACAAAAAAAAGAAGGAAAUGACCUUUUGUCUUCUGUACAGAAGCAAAGGCAGAAUGAUAUUAACAUUUAAAUUAGGUCAGCCAGUAAAAUGUGCCACAAGGUUGCAUGACAAUCAGCAUCGUUUGUCAGUCAAGAGCUUGUCGAUCGAUACUUUGAUAAAAGUGCGUGGCUAUAACCUGCAAGUGUCCUGUCUUGUUGAGUUGUGCUACUACUUUUUUUGGUGCUGUGAUAACCGCAGUAUCUCUUUAUUUUGAAGUGGUUAUUAUUUCCCCUCGUUGGCUCAAGUGCACACACUGCAUAAUGCGCAACAACUCCAUGGAGAGCUCGGAGUUGUGAACCCAAUUUUGAAGACAUCCUAAUUUAAAGGACAGGGAGACAGGAUUCGGCAAAAAAGGAGCCGAACUGCUCCCCCGUUGCGCUUGUAGGGUCACUGCUUUGAGACAGGCGCCUGGACUGGAGGUCAAUGUGACGCGGAUCAGGAGCGCCAACAUAUACACGUGCUGAUUACCUCCCCUCAAGUAGAAAAAAAAUGCAAAUAAUAAAUGUACGAGCAACGUGCUUGUUUUUGUGCUUGAUUAAUUAUGCCGUUUAAUUCCACAUCCACCAUGCUGCGCCUCCAUAUAAUUUCCCAGUGGUCUUGACUGUUUCUUCUCUCACUCUCUGCCCCCCCACCCCCCGCACCCCCAUCAUCGCAAUAUGAAUCAUGGAUCCGACCGUGUGCGCCUGAGGGAGCGCGGUGAUUCGGCGUGCAGGCUGACCAAUCGCGUGGAUUGGUGGUAGACUUGCCGAUGGAAGGAGUCUCCGCGUCAAGUCUGGCUACAAAACAUCAUACAAGAUGCGACCGACUGGGUCGUUGAAGGGAAACUAUGCAAAGCUCCCAUUAAUUACAACAACUACAUUCAGCACAAUGCUCCCCCGGUGGUGUGUUUUUAGCAGGAGGCCCCGAUGGAACCCUGACAGCUCUCCUCUUCCCAGCUAGGCCAACCUCCUCCUCAGCCUCCUGACAGUUCCAGUCUACAUGCAGACAGUGAUUACUGCCUGAGAUGCAGACUUUAUUGGCUAAGUAAGGGGGCGUAGUAAGCAGGGUGGAGUGAGCAAGGAGGCACCAAGGAGCCUAGGAGCAAUUGGCAAAGAGCUCCCAGUCUGCACACCUGGAAGAUGACGUUGUACCUCUAGUUUCUUUGUUUGGAUUUGUUUGCCAUCUGCAUCCUGUCUCGCUCCAGAAUUAUUUUGUACGUCUCUCUGUGGGGGUUUUCUUUGUUGUUGCACCUGUGCCUUUAGUUUUAGCGUCUUCCUGGUGAUUCUCUUUGCUCCCUUGUAAGCCACAUUUUUCUAGUCUUUGCUUUUUGUUGUGUUGCUUUUGUUUGCUUUUUGCCUUGCACAGUAGUUUUCAGUUAGUUUUUUUUUUCCUUUAGUUUUUGGAAAUACUGUUGGAUCGUCCUUACACUCUGUUACUGCUUUGGGGUCCCAUCAGUCACAAACUGUAACACUAUUGAACACAAGAUGAGACUGACGGCUUGUUGAAAAGAAACAUGCGCAUGGCUCCCAUUUUUAAUCAUUUGUUAUAAUUUGGUUAUAUGCAAAUCUGUUGAAAUAUGCCUUUACGUGAAAGUGGUCUGUAGUGCUAUGACCUCAUCAGUUAAUCGACUUCAGUUUGACUUUCAUAACAUUAUAAUCGAUUACAAAAAUCUUGUAGCGUUCGCUAUCCAUCAGUUUUUGCAAUACCAAAGAACCAACUGCAAACCUAAAGAUUUGUCAGAUGCAAAGCAAUACCUAUAAAACCCCCCAAGGUGACCCUAUCGCGCUGCAAACACCUUACUUCCACCUUGUCCAUCAGAUGUCUUCAAAAGGGUGAGUAGUUUUGCUUUAUUUAUUUUUCUUUUUUUAUACAGUGGUUAACUUGUCAUUUAGACUAUGACCGGAAGGUCGACUUUGGAGGUUCUGUUGUGUUUUUGAUUUAAAGGCGGGGUCUGGGCAGAGAAAUGGCGGCAUGGUGGGGGUGCUAUUGGCCAGGGCAGGUAGACGCUGUUAGUUAAAUGAUGCUGGCGUGCACAAGAGGGAUUGCUUUGGGAAGUUGUCAUCCAUCAUGGUUUUAGAAUGACUCAAAGCAGCACUCUGCUUGGAGGGUUAUGGUCUGGGAUCCAUGAUUGAUGCGAGCUGGAUGGGUGUUUUGUAGGCGUGAGUGGGAAAGAGAUUGUGUGUGUGUGCGUGUGCGUGCGUGUGCGUGUGUGUGUGUGCACGGGCGCACAUGUGCAACACGAUGAGAUGAGCCGGUUGUUUAGGGAGCUUCUUAAAGUGACUCUAAUCUGAUGACAACAACUGUUUCUACAUAGGAAAAAUAUCUAUGCUCGUUUCCAUGUAAUGGACACUUUAUUAGGGACACUUGAACAAUCUAAAACGAACUGUGUCAGGAAUUGUCUUUUUGAAGACAAUACUUUAUUGGCACUGUUAGAGAGGUAUUAAUGUAACAAUGUUUAUUAUUGUGGUUGUAAUUUCAGUGGUGGAGAACUGCACUGCAUCAUACUUUUAGGGGAUUCUAAUAUUUAUCCAGAUACAUGCCAGAGGCAAAAGUACACCGACAAUAUUAUGCCUUAUGUAGACCCAUGUAUUUACUCAACUGCAGAUGUUACCUUGUGUCUAUUAGGGGUAAGGCAUCAA